This 609-nucleotide ribosomal RNA is filed under the name Lactiplantibacillus plantarum. RNAcentral describes it as "bacterial SSU rRNA". It matches the Rfam family "Bacterial small subunit ribosomal RNA", at positions 832 to 1441 of the family's 1533-position model. The record is from RNAcentral. Lineage: Bacteria; Bacillati; Bacillota; Bacilli; Lactobacillales; Lactobacillaceae.
UUCCGCCCUCAGUGCUGCAGCUAACGCAUUAAGCAUUCCGCCUGGGGAGUACGGCCGCAAGGCUGAAACUCAAAAGGAAUUGACGGGGGCCCGCACAAGCGGUGGAGCAUGUGGUUUAAUUCGAAGCUACGCGAAGAACCUUACCAGGUCUUGACAUACUAUGCAAAUCUAAGAGAUUAGACGUUCCCUUCGGGGACAUGGAUACAGGUGGUGCAUGGUUGUCGUCAGCUCGUGUCGUGAGAUGUUGGGUUAAGUCCCGCAACGAGCGCAACCCUUAUUAUCAGUUGCCAGCAUUAAGUUGGGCACUCUGGUGAGACUGCCGGUGACAAACCGGAGGAAGGUGGGGAUGACGUCAAAUCAUCAUGCCCCUUAUGACCUGGGCUACACACGUGCUACAAUGGAUGGUACAACGAGUUGCGAACUCGCGAGAGUAAGCUAAUCUCUUAAAGCCAUUCUCAGUUCGGAUUGUAGGCUGCAACUCGCCUACAUGAAGUCGGAAUCGCUAGUAAUCGCGGAUCAGCAUGCCGCGGUGAAUACGUUCCCGGGCCUUGUACACACCGCCCGUCACACCAUGAGAGUUUGUAACACCCAAAGUCGGUGGGGUAACCA